UUUUCCUUGUCUCUGCCUCCCUAGGAUUCUAAACUGUCACCCCAGCCCAUUAUCAUUCUUUAACACCUUAUUCAAAGUCUAACUGUUUUCUCCUUAGUCACAGCUUGUUGUCUUCUUCGUCCUCCUGCUGCUGUUUCAUGAGAUAUAAACGCAGCCGUGGAUCCCUCCUCUUCAAGUCAAUGGGCUUCCAUGCCUUCUCUCUUCUCUCUGGCUUCAGCUAAUAGGAAGCCCUAGCAAAAGAUCUGAAGGAGAGAAGUGAGUGAAGUCAGCGUAUUCAUUCUUCUGGGUCCUUCCACUUCAAGGCUGCCUCCGACUGAUUGCGUCCCUAACCAAAGGCAGGAAGUGGAUGUCACUGUCCUUGUCCAUGAUGAAGGCUUUGAUGCUCUUGCCAACUGCACCUUCUUGACAGAGUCUCUCUGGGCGUCCCUUCUCUGCCAAACCCUAUUCUGCUUCUCCUCUGCUUGCUUGAUAAAAAGAAGAGAAGGAAGAAAUCAGAGAAGAAAAGGAGAGCAAGGACAAGAGGAAAGAGAGCGAACAGAAGAAAUUAAAGAAGAAAGGGAGGGAGGGAGGGAGAAAUGGAAGGAGAGACACAGGGAGGCACGGAAGGAGCGACUGAGAAAGGAAGGCAGGGAGCAAGAGAGGUGGGGCAAGGAUCUUACUGGAGCUCCAUUCCAAACAGGAGGAGGAGAGCUGCUUCAGGUGGAGCUGGGGGGGAUCUGGGUCCCCAGAUGCUUUGCCUUUUGUUCUCUUGCAGCACCUGAGGCAACUUUAAGAAUUUUAACACUCUUGAGAAGACAGGAAAUAACCCUUGUUCAGAGCUACAGCAGCCUUCCAGCUUUGCAAGUGUUAUUACUCACUCACUGGGUGUGCAAACAGGGAGAGCACUGGGCAAUACCCCGUGAUACUGAGACCUGUUUGCAGGAGUGUUCUACUCUCUGAGCCACACUUGGAAUCACUUACCUGCUGCAUUUGUUAGGUUUCCUAUUUUAAAAUUAAUAAAAACACAAGGAUAUACACUCACCUCAUGAUACUAGGGCUGGGCUGGAGAAGAAAUAGAAUUAGACGUGAUAAAAAUUAUAAAUUCUGUAAUAUAGCAUCUACGGGAAAAUCCCAUACUGGAAAAAAUGGUUGUCUUUUGUGGUGAGGAAUACGUAAGUGAGUAUUUUUAAUCAUGCUCAGUUGAGGGGAUAAACCCCAAUCAACCGAAUUCCUAAACACUGGAUAAUUGUAGAAAAGUAAAGAGAAACAGAAAUAAAUCUCAAAUAACUGAAUUAACUGCUGA
This 1282-nucleotide long non-coding RNA is filed under the name Equus asinus (donkey). Its description in RNAcentral is "lncRNA (ENSEASG00005035076.1)". The record is from RNAcentral. Lineage: Eukaryota; Metazoa; Chordata; Mammalia; Perissodactyla; Equidae.